AGCAACCAACCUCCAGGGAGGGGAAAGGGGGCAGAAGUUUGAGUUAAUAACUAAUAGCUAAAGAUGUAAACAAUAAGCCUCCAUAAAACCCCAAAAGGACUGGACUGGUUUCUGAGAGCUUCCAGGUUGUUGAGCACGUGGAGGUUCUGGGAGGGUCCACACCCAGAGAAGGCAUGGAAGCUGACCCCUUCCCCAUACCUUGCUCUUUGCAUCUCUUCCAUUUGGCUGUUCCCGAGUUGUAUACUUUGUAAUAAGUGGGAUUUCCACCCAACAACAAUUCAGCCACACUGCUUCACACAUCUAGAAUCCAUCCAAAAUUGUAAAGGCUUUGUGGCACUACAGUGAAACAGGCAAGAACAUCUUCCAAACAUCCAGCACAAGAGCACACAGGAGGCCGGCAUAAUCACGAAUUGCAGCUGUCUGAAGGGCAGUCACAUAAAAGAGGAGAAGCUUCACCUUUGCUUCACAAGGCACAUCUUGAACCAGGGAUGGAAAUUACAGAGAGGCCAAAACCAGCUCGGUGUGAGCAGGACUGGUAACAGACUGGCCAAGCAACAGAAGGGGCUGCCCUGUGAAGAAGCAAGCUCUCUGUCAAUGGGAGGUGCAAGCUGAGCCUGCACUACCUUUUGUCACGGUUGCUAUGGAAAAGAUUAAGAGCCCGGGCCUGGCUGUUCCCACCUCAAACCACUUCUUAGCUUCAUUUGUUCUCAUAACAACAGGAUAGCCCUUCCUCCUCUGGGGGCCUGGGCAUCAGCAAGUCGGAUGGCAGUGGAAGGUGGAGAAAUGGAAUCCUGCUGGGGGCUCAGGAGGCCUGCCCCCUGAUGCUGCCGUGCACUGCAGAUGUCCUUGAUGAAGAGAAUGAAUGGAAGUUUAAAUGAUGAAACUCUGGGGAUCAGCGUAAAGUAAACCAACAUACUGCAUGUAAGUAUCAAGUAAAUGAGCAGAGACAGCCCCUGGUUUACAAACACCUGACUUAAGCAUCGUCCAUCCUACAGGACAGGGAAGGAGGAAGAAGCUUCGAGAGGCUGGAACAGUUGAGGGAGCGCUGACACGGUAAAGGCCACUUUGCUCAUCAUCACCAGGCGUGCUGCCGAAAAUUUCCACUCUGUUUACUCCCAAGACCUUACUCCUACUAUGUGGAGACACAUUUGAAUAAAAAAUUGGCCUCUUUUCAAAGUCAAAAUUCUG
Molecule: long non-coding RNA, 1188 nt
Filed under: Homo sapiens (human)
Lineage: Eukaryota; Metazoa; Chordata; Mammalia; Primates; Hominidae
Description: HSALNT0316885
Source: RNAcentral